RNAcentral lists this ribosomal RNA (255 nucleotides) under Staphylococcus epidermidis. Its description in RNAcentral is "partial 16S ribosomal RNA". It matches the Rfam family "Bacterial small subunit ribosomal RNA", at positions 1145 to 1399 of the family's 1533-position model. Lineage: Bacteria; Bacillati; Bacillota; Bacilli; Caryophanales; Staphylococcaceae. The record is from RNAcentral.
UUGACUGCCGGUGACAAACCGGAGGAAGGUGGGGAUGACGUCAAAUCAUCAUGCCCCUUAUGAUUUGGGCUACACACGUGCUACAAUGGACAAUACAAAGGGUAGCGAAACCGCGAGGUCAAGCAAACCCCAUAAAGUUGUUCUCAGUUCGGAUUGUAGUCUGCAACUCGACUAUAUGAAGCUGGAAUCGCUAGUAAUCGUAGAUCAGCAUGCUACGGUGAAUACGUUCCCGGGUCUUGUACACACCGCCCGUCA